GUGUGUGUGUUUUUCUCCCUGUCUCUCACACACAUGCACACACACACUCUCCCCUGCUGGCUUCGGGCCCCGUCCCGGCUCCUUGCUGCUGUCUCAGAGACCCAGCCCCGCUCUGGGCAGCAGCUCCUCAGCGAGCCGGGCUCCAGGCAUCUGCUCAGGGCUGGCCCUGGGACAGGGGAAACCAGCCGGAGCCCCUGAGUGUGGGCAGGCAGCAGAGGAGAGUCAGGACCAGCAGGCGGGGCCUCCCGACCUGGAAGGGAAGGUCUGAUUUUCAAAGCACAGGCUUGUGGGCGUUUAAUCUUGAAUGUUCUCUGGCUCAUUCCACAGCCUCGCAUCUCCCUCCUCUUUGCCUCCCGCCUCCAGGUUUGUCCCCGGCGUGAUGCCAGCAAGUGUCUGGGCCAGACCCUGAACACUGCGGGCAGGGGCUGAGCCAGAGGAAGGGUUCAGAAGUGGGGGGCCUGGGGCCAGGGAGGGCCAGGCGUGGUCUGGAGCAGGGGGCGCUGCCCCUUCAGUGCCAGGCCUGCCCACCUCCUGCACGUACGGGCCCUCCCUGUCUGCUCCCCUAGCCCGGCACCUUCCUUGGAGAGGACCCCCAGCCUCUGAUCUAAAACGCCUCACUGUGGAAAUGGUCAGUGGUGGUCCUCACCUCCAGGGUCGGGAGAAUGGAUGAGAUGGCACUGCAGGGCCCCGAGUGCUGGCCAGCCGGGACCUGACGUUGUGGGUGCAUAACACACAGUGCGGUGAAGGAAUGAAUGUGUGAAUGGAGGCGUCUGUAAGGACACGCCGAUGUUCUCUGGGCCAUUUAGAACACCCUUCGUGCCUCCAUGAUAAUCUCCAGUCCAGUGCAGUGCAGUAUUGGCUGCUUCUCAGCGGCCCCGGCCGGGCUGUGCAGACAGAGGCCGAGGAGGCGGCAGGAGGGGAAGGAGGAGUCCAAUCAGCUUUGUCCAGGGCUGCAGGGCGCUGCCGGGCGCCAGGAGGGAGGCCCAGCCCUGCUGGUGACCACAAAGGUCCCAAGAGGGCCGAGCCUUUCUUGGGUCAGGCCCAGGACACUGAGAGCUCAGUCUGGCUUCUCUCUGAGGCUCCUGGUUUGUACGCCACCACCCUCCCGGGUCUCCCAGCCCGAGGACAGAGGCUGCAUCCUUGGUAGGGUGCUCCCAGCCUCUCCUCCACCCAGUCCUGCCAGCCUUCUCUCCUCCGCCCCUGGCCACACCUGCCCUUGGCCUGGCCAGUCUCUGCGUGUGCCCUCCUCUCUGGCCUUGCCCGUCUUUCAGGGCCCACCCUGAUCGCCCACCUCCUCCAGGAAGCCCUCCUCCCAAUUAAUCUCACCCACACACGGGCCUUCACAAUCAGAGAGAGUCAGGGUGGAGUGUCCCAGAGGCUGGCCCCAGGGGCAGGUGGAGCCUUUCUACACCGGGUCUCCAGCCUCCAGUGCAGGCUUUGCCCACCCAGCUGUGUGCUCUUGGCAGGUUCCCCUCCACAUGGAGCUUGUUUCCUGUCAGCCAACCCAGGACGAUGGUGCGCCCUCCCUGGGCCACAGGGAGGGUUCAAUGAGAUCCGACAAUGCAAUCUACCAGCACACAGUAGGACCUCAAUCCAGCCUGGUAAAAAAGAAAUAACAGGCCCCAGAUGGACUCAUUUGCCCCAUGACAGCAAGCCAAGACAUGAUGCAGUUUUGACCUUUCCCGGAAAUGUAGUCUUAGUCAACCAGUCUGGAAGCUUCUGGUCGGUAUCAAUGAGGUCAUCCGUCGGGGGGCCCUCUCCAUCCGCCGAGGAGGCCGAGGCGGCCGAGGCGAAUCAAACCCUUGCCCUCCCCUCUCCUAAAGAGAAGAGGUUCUGGCCCCAAGGAAUCCUUUCUUUUCUUUAGCUCAUACUUCCUUGCCCAUCCUCCUUCCUGUGGGAACCUUCCAUUUUGUAUCGCUCCUUGGAGUCUCUCUCUGCUUGCCAGACGACAAGCUGUCCGUGAAUCUUUGGAUGAAGCCUAUUAGAUCUUCAAAUUUACUGGGUGCAUUCUGUUUUUAACAAACCUCAACGUCAAGGGGCUCGGAGCAGCGACCUUCAUCUUCCUCCCUCCCGGGUCUGCAGGUGGCUGGGGCAGGGGCUCUGCCUCAGGCUUUGGGUGAGCUCUGGGCUGCUCCUCAGGCCUCUCCUGGAAGCAGCGGCUCCACGCCCUCACGGGACGAGGCCAAAACGCAAGAAGGGCGAGCGCACAAGCCAGGCAUGUCUCUUAAGGCUUCAGCUCAGAGCGGGUCACUGUCACUUCCACCCGCGUUCCCCUGGCCAGUGCGAGUCACAUGACUGCGUCCACCGUCAGUGGGACAGGGCCCUGCGCUUUCCCACUCCAGAGCUCCAUGAUCAUGUGGCGGAGGGAGGGAGGGACCGGGAGCAAGGCCCAUGUGCCGCCUUGACACUGCAGCCCCAGGCCCCUCUUGCAGAAUCUCGGAGCACCCAGGCCCCAGGCGUCUCUGGCAGGGUCCCCAAGUCCUUACCCGUAAUAUUGGGCAAACUGGCUCGAGCCCCAUCCCAUGUACUGUGGGAUGUCCACGGGCCUCUCUGAGCGUCUGCCGUUCCCCAGGGCCUAAGGACUCUGAUCCUUUCCCCUCCUGGUUUCCUGAUUCUGCUCAACGUGGUCCAUCUCCUUCCUGGGCUGUCCCCUCCACCCCACCCCGCACUGAGUUUAGGGCCCAGGCUGGGUUAUUCUAAACUCUCUUUUGCCUGGCUAAGCAGAAGGCCAUCUAUUCUGAGUUUCUAUCCUUUAGUAUUACAAACUCCUACUGGAAAUGUAUUAUUAUUGUUGUUGUUGUUGUUUUGCCUCCAACAGGAUAAAAUUCUGCGCCCCCCCCCCCGCCCCCUCAGGGCCGGGUAAGCCAGAGGGAACUCUACGGAGGCUCCUCUCCUGCCUGCCUCCUGGCGGAGCGGCGCCAGGCACUGAGGAGCUUCUCGCCAGCCUGCUGAGCGUAUUAGCACAUGGAAGGUGCACCUGGCCCUGGGGCAUCUUUCCUGGAGCAUCUGUCACCCAGUUCUGACAGGGGAUGGCAGGAAAGAGCCUGUAGGAUUUAGGGUGCUUGAGAGGAUUAAAUGAAGGAAACCAUGUCAAGGCCCCGGGGCACCAAUAGGCAUGAAUUGUCAGUGUUAGAUCUCCUUUUCUUUAGAGAACGCCUCAUCUUAGGGUGACCCUAUAUCACUGUCCAUGCCAGGACAUUUGAGAGCGCAAGGGGACACUGCUCUUAAUGACAUCCAUGACAGGCAUAGACGGGGACUGUCCCAGGCCCACUAGGAGCUGUGGUGGCCCCCUCUCCCUGGACCUUAUCAGACUCUUGUUCCUCCACUCCCUCCCUCCCACCUCCACGAGGAAGAAGCGCGGCUUGCCCUACGCUCAGAGUACACGGCUGCCUCCUGGCCUGGGGGCCCUGGGGUGGGCAGGACUCAGACUCCGGGGACCAUCCAGCCUUGCCUUGAGCCUUUCCCCGACCCAGGGCAGACAGCUCCUCCCUCUCCAGGAAUGAAGCCGGGAAGAGGGACCCCGAGGCAUCGUCAGUGGCCGUGAGCUCAACCUUGGAAGCAGCUGUCUGGGCACAGAGGAUGCAACUGGCUCCCAAAGAAGGAAACAGAGAGGGAGAGAGAGAGAGAAGGGAGCUUGAAGGACUCUAUUCCUGGUCCCCGCUGAGUUCCUGAGACUCAGCAAAGCUCCAGGACUGGUGACAUGACACUGUACAUUUCACAGCUUGCUUAAGCCAUGCUUCCGUCACUUGCAAUCAGAAAGUCCUGGCUGACCCACUGUGUCUACACAACUCGAGUCACCAUAAGCUCUCUCAGGAUAGAGACGGGCCUGCUCGGCGUGGAAGGGCGACUGGGCCGUCUGUAGUCAGAAGACCCGGAUUCCAGUCCCGACUCUGCCCAUGCCCGACCGUGUGUCCUGGGGCGUGUGGUCACCAAGCAGUCCAGGGCGGAAGGAAACCCAGAGAAUGUCGGAUUGAGCCAGUGCACUGGCGGCUUCUCAGGUGAGACUGCAAAAGGGCAAGAAGUUCUUGGUAAAACUCAGUUUUCCCAACUGUAAAAUGAGGCCGUGAUUUCUAAGGGCAUCUCAGAUGAAAUCUAUAUCAUCUAUAUCUACGUCUAUAAAAUUGAUCCAAUUGUGGCAAACAUAUAAUAAGCUCCCACAAGGUGCUCGUGCUGCACUAGGCCCAGGGAUCCACUGGGAAUGAGGCUUGAUGGCUGCCCGCAGGAGCUUUGGUGUAGGAGAAACAUCUGCUUUACCUUGACCUUGAACCCUCCUUUGAUGAGCAGAGACCAAUCUAGAAGGGCCUUUUGGUAGUGGAUCCUGGGCCAUAAGAGAAAGAGGCUCCCACAGCACCUGGAGGCCUCGCCUCACCUGCGCUGGUUCAAACCACUUCCCGGCUGGAGUCCUGGGGAGAAGUGGAGACAAGUCUACCUGCUGCUCCAGCUGGGAGUCUAAUCAUGCCUCGCCCGCUGCUCAGGCUCAUCCGAGCCCUUGGCUUCCUGGAGACCACCCACCACAUAUGCCCCCACCAGGCAGUCCUGGUGGCAGCUGCUCCCCCAGAGGUGACAGAGAGAGAAAUGACUUCUCCCCGUCUCCUGGUUGGAUCCAGCCAGUGGGCGCAGUGGCAUCUGAGUCCUGCCAAGCCUGAUAAUGGAACUGUCGCCGUCAGACUGGCCCUGGGAGGUGAGUGGUGAGAGUUCCAGGAACCUGGAGAUUGUCUGCCACGUGGGUCACCUCGCACUGGAUUGGCUCAGGGAGUGAUUUCAGACUGCAAAUUGCAUUGCGAGCUCCUCUUCCCCGACCCUCAGCAGGGCCUGUCACAGUGCUUCUCUCAGACUCCAGCUCCUAAAGCUCCCCCAAGACUGUCAUCAUCAGAGACAGCCCGCUCUGGGCUUGAAUCCCUGGGCAGAAACUGACAGGUGUGGGGCUGCUGGCAGGUUACUUCAUGGAAGUGUGGGAACAUGGGAGUUGUAAUUGUUUCAGUUGGGUCCAUUUCUUUCAGGACAGACAUUCAUACGGGCUUAAUCCAGAAAAGGGAAUUUAUAGGCUUAUGUAACUGAGAAGUUCAAGGACACCCGGUUGCUGAGUGACAGAGCCAGGAUUCCGGGGCAGAAUUGCCAGGUGCUAAAAUCACACUGUUCCAGGUCCCCUCACACCUGGCUCAACCUUCCAUGUCCCCUCACACCCAGAAUGAAAUCUAAGGGCCCUCCUGAGGCCUCCAAGGCCUGAUCCAGUCCCCCAUCCUCUCUGACUCCUCCCCUGCCCUCCCCCCAUCUCUGCUCCUGCCCCCCGACCUUCUAGCUGUCAUGGCACUGCUCAUCAGGCCAUGCUGAGGCGGUGUCCCACAUGCCACAACUAUAAGGACCCACAACUAAAA
Non-coding RNA from Equus caballus (horse), 5375 nucleotides. Lineage: Eukaryota; Metazoa; Chordata; Mammalia; Perissodactyla; Equidae. The record is from RefSeq and is a predicted model, not a curated record.